CCCUUAGAUGUUCUGGGCCGCACGCGCGCUACACUGACGGAUUCAACGAGCUUACAACCUUGGCCGAAAGGUCUGGGUAAUCUCCAAAAUCCGUCGUGAUGGGGAUAGAUUAUUGCAAUUAUUAAUCUUCAACGAGGAAUGCCUAGUAAGCGCAAGUCAUCAGCUCGCGUUGAUUACGUCCCUGCCCUUUGUACACACCGCCCGUCGCUCCUACCGAUUGAAUGGUCCGGUGAAGCAUUUGGACUAUGGUUUUCUGAUGGUCCGCCGUUGGAUUACCGUGGGAAGUUCGUUAAACCUUAUCAUUUAGAGGAAGGAGAAGUCGUAACA
RNAcentral lists this ribosomal RNA (327 nucleotides) under uncultured eukaryote. RNAcentral's name for it is "partial 18S ribosomal RNA". It matches the Rfam family "Eukaryotic small subunit ribosomal RNA", at positions 1470 to 1796 of the family's 1831-position model. The record is from RNAcentral.